This is a long non-coding RNA of Cucurbita moschata (crookneck pumpkin), 110 nucleotides long. RefSeq lists it as uncharacterized. NCBI's taxonomy places the organism in Eukaryota, Viridiplantae, Streptophyta, Magnoliopsida, Cucurbitales, Cucurbitaceae. The transcript is spliced from 3 exons. The record is from RefSeq and is a predicted model, not a curated record.
AUUAUUCUUCUUUGCUCAAGUCCCAACAAUCUUACUUAAUAUCCCACACAACAUUCUUUCCUUUUCAACUAAAUUAUAUCAAAAUCUCCACUAAAAAGUUUAGGGUUUUC